ACGGCAUGAUGGGGACAUUUCCCGACGAGGUCCUUUAAUCUUUCCCAUGACUCAUGGAACUGGUCACCAUCUUGUUGUGAAAACCUAGUGAGAGCUCGUCUUAUUU
This 106-nucleotide small nucleolar RNA is filed under the name Cephalotus follicularis. Its description in RNAcentral is "Plant small nucleolar RNA R71". It matches the Rfam family "Plant small nucleolar RNA R71". From Rfam's summary of the family: R71 is a member of the C/D box family of snoRNAs containing the C (UGAUGA) and D (CUGA) box motifs. The record is from Rfam by way of RNAcentral. Lineage: Eukaryota; Viridiplantae; Streptophyta; Magnoliopsida; Oxalidales; Cephalotaceae.